AACGAACGCUGGCGGCAUGCCUAGCACAUGCAAGUCGAACGAGACCUUCGGGUCUAGUGGCGCACGGGUGCGUAACGCGUGGGAACCUGCCCUUAGGUUCGGAAUAACUCCCCGAAAGGGGUGCUAAUACCAGAUAAUGUCUUCGGACCAAAGAUUUAUCGCCUUUGGAUGGGCCCGCGUUGGAUUAGCUAGUUGGUAGGGUAAAAGCCUACCAAGGCGACGAUCCAUAGCUGGUCUGAGAGGAUGAUCAGCCACACUGGGACUGAGACACGGCCCAGACUCCUACGGGAGGCAGCAGUGGGGAAUAUUGGACAAUGGGCGAAAGCCUGAUCCAGCAAUGCCGCGUGAGUGAUGAAGGCCUUAGGGUUGUAAAGCUCUUUUACCCGGGAUGAUAAUGACAGUACCGGGAGAAUAAGCUCCGGCUAACUCCGUG
Molecule: ribosomal RNA, 433 nt
Filed under: uncultured bacterium
Lineage: Bacteria
Description: partial 16S ribosomal RNA
Rfam family: Bacterial small subunit ribosomal RNA
Source: RNAcentral